CCUACGUGUGGCAGCAGUGAGGAAUAUUGGUCAAUGGACGCGAGCCUGAACCAGCCAAGUAGCGUGAAGGAUGACUGCCCUACGGGUUGUAAACUUCUUUUAUAAAGGAAUAAAGUGAGGCAUGGGUGCCUUUUUGUAUGUACUUUAUGAAUAAGGAUCGGCUAACUCCGUGCCAGCAGCCGCGGUAAUACGGAGGAUCCGAGCGUUAUCCGGAUUUAUUGGGUUUAAAGGGAGCGUAGAUGGGUUGUUAAGUCAGUUGUGAAAGUUUGCGGCUCAACCGUAAAAUUGCAAUUGAUACUGGCAGUCUUGAGUACAGUUGAGGUAGGCGGAAUUCGUGGUGUAGCGGUGAAAUGCUUAGAUAUCACGAAGAACUCCGAUUGCGAAGGCAGCUUACUAAACUGCCACUGACAUUGAUGCUCGAAAGUGUGGGUAUCAAACAGGAUUAGAUACCCUGGUAGUC
Molecule: ribosomal RNA, 460 nt
Filed under: uncultured bacterium
Lineage: Bacteria
Description: partial 16S ribosomal RNA
Rfam family: Bacterial small subunit ribosomal RNA
Source: RNAcentral